AAAGCUCGUAGUCGGAUGUCGGGCGCGGUCGAUCGGUCCGUCGCGAGACGUGUCACUGGUCGGCCGGCCAAUGCAGCCUGUGUCCCGGCGGUGCUCUUGAUUGAGUGCCGCCGGUGGGCCAGGCCGGUUACUUUGAAAAAAUUAGAGUGUUCAAAGCAGGCCCUGGGAGCCUGAAUAUCGGUGCACGGAAUAACGAAAGAGGACCUCGGUCUUGCUUUUGUUGGUUUUUGAAGGCGCGAGGUAAUGAUCGAGAGAGACGGACGGGGGCAUCCGUACUGUGCCGUCAGAGGUGAAAUUCUUGGACCGGCGCAAGACGAACUACUGCGAAAGCAUUUGCCAAGAAUGUUUUCCUUGAUCAAGAGCGAAAGUCAGAGGUUCGAAGACGAUCAGAUACCGUCCUAGUUCUGACUGUAAACGAUGCCGACUGGCGAUCGGGCGGCGUUUGCUUUUGAAGACCCGCCCGGCAGCCUCCGGGAAACCAAAGUCUUUGGGUUCCGGGGGAAGUAUGGUUGCAAAGCUGAAACUUAAAGGAAUUGACGGAAGGGCACCACCAGGAGUGGAGCCUGCGGCUUAAUUUGACUCAACACGGGGAAUCUCACCCGGCCCGGACACAGCGAGGAUUGACAGAUUGAGAGCUCUUUCUUGAUUCUGUGGGUGGUGGUGCAUGGCCGUUCUUAGUUGGUGGAGCGAUUUGUCUGGUUAAUUCCGAUAACGAACGAGACUCUGGCCUGCUAAAUAGUUACGCGACCCCUGAGCGGUCGGCGGAUUGAACUUCUUAGAGGAACUAGCGGCGUUUAGCCGCACGAGAUUGAGCAAUAACAGGUCUGUGAUGCCCUUAGAUGUUCGGGGCCGCACGCGCGCUACACUGACCGGAUCAGCGUGUCUUUCCCUGGGCCGAAAGGUCCGGGUAAUCCGCUGAACCCCGGUCGUGCUUGGGAUAGAGAGUUGCAAUUGUCGCUCUUGAACGAGGAAUUCCCAGUAAGC
RNAcentral lists this ribosomal RNA (984 nucleotides) under Doliolum nationalis. RNAcentral's name for it is "SSU rRNA". It matches the Rfam family "Eukaryotic small subunit ribosomal RNA", at positions 623 to 1622 of the family's 1831-position model. The record is from RNAcentral. Lineage: Eukaryota; Metazoa; Chordata; Thaliacea; Doliolida; Doliolidae.